RNAcentral lists this ribosomal RNA (530 nucleotides) under fungal endophyte sp. ECD-2008. Its description in RNAcentral is "eukaryotic LSU rRNA". The stretch from base 197 to 350 matches the Rfam family "5.8S ribosomal RNA". Lineage: Eukaryota; Fungi. The record is from RNAcentral.
AACCUGCGGAGGGAUCAUUACAGAGUUAUCUAAACUCCCAAACCCAUGUGAACAUACCUCGCGUUGCCUCGGCAGGUGGCGUCCUACCCCGUGAUACCUACCCUGUAGGACCUACCCGGUAGGCGACCCUGCCGACGGCCCCCGAAACUCUGUUUUUAUAGCAUUGGACUUCUGAAAAGAUAACUAAAUAAGUUAAAACUUUCAACAACGGAUCUCUUGGUUCUGGCAUCGAUGAAGAACGCAGCGAAAUGCGAUAAGUAAUGUGAAUUGCAGAAUUCAGUGAAUCAUCGAAUCUUUGAACGCACAUUGCGCCCACUAGUAUUCUGGUGGGCAUGCCUGUUCGAGCGUCAUUUCAACCCUUAAGCCCCCGUUGCUUAGUGUUGGGAGCCUACUGGAACUCUCCUGUAGCUCCCCAAAGUCAGUGGCGGAGCCGGUUCGCACUCCAGACGUAGUAGCUUUUACACAUCGCCUGUAGCUUGGACCCGGUCCCCUGCCGUAAAACACCCCCCAAUUUUAUAGGUUGACCUCGG